GAAAGAAAGCAGCAGGGGGAAACUAGAAUAAGCUUAUGUAGAAACUGUUGUGAUAGAAGUGGUCUGAUUUCUGCUGGAGCUAUAGUUAACUUCCACUUUAAUGUCAAUCCGUUGGAUUCUUAUCCUUGUACAUUAUCUCACGUGAUGCACCGAUCAAAUUCUAGUUAUCCACGUUAGUUUUUCAAAACAAGUUUUUUAUGUGAAAAGGAUAAAAAGAGAAGACUUUUGAAAGAGCAAAAUCCUUUGUCCAAAUUAGCAGAUAAAUUUUGAAAAUCUGAUUGUUCCUAAACAAUUGAUUAGUUGGAGAACGAAAUUUUGUCCCCGAUUGGCAGACAAAAAUCUGAUUGCUUUUUAAAUAAUUGAUGUUAAAAGCAAAUGAAGUAAUUGAGCAACAAAUGGUAGGGUUAACUUAUUUUCAAGAAUAGUUCCUACUUGUCCUUUUUGAUGAGGUCUCUUCUUUAGGUCUUGAGUUGGGAUAAGUUUUCAAAGUGUCUACUCCAUACCCUAACAGUUCUAUUAUACGAAUUUUCACCUACCUUUAUAAAAGUGGUAUUAUUGAAACGUGAAGCCCUUGCCUUGUGUUGGGAAAACUGGGGAGAUUGAUUUCUGAUGGUGACUAAUAGAAUUGGAGUUCUACGUAGAAGUAUGAAGUGAAAACAAUAGCAGCUACUCUAACUUAGGCCUUACUAAUGUUUAAACUUUAGCUAGAAAACUUGGUUAUUCUUGUUUUAGUUUUUGUUGUCACUUAGCUUACGUGGCAUUUCACGUUCGACAAGUUCUUGACUUUAACUGAAGUAGAACAUCUAUGGAACAUUGACAAUCGAGCCAAAUAGCCAAUGGGCUCUUCAAUUAAUUUACACUUCAAUCUAGGUUUAAUUUGUACAAGUUUCUCGAGGCCUAUCUGCUAAUUGUGAUUGUUCUUUGUCCCUAAUUAAAAAAGAAAGAAAGAAAGAAAACUGAAAGAUGGGAAAAGAAAUCAACUGGUAUAGAAAAAAUGAAAAAUUUGAUGUAUAAGUCACGGGGGUUUGUGGUUGUCUACACUCCAGUCAGCUAUAGUUUACUUUCAACAUUGGCAUAGUUUUAUUGAAUUCUUAUCUCUGUACAUUGUUGCAUGUCAUCCAUCGAAUUAAAUUGCUUGUAAUGCAUAUAUUAGUUUUCGCCGAUCACAAAAAAAAUGCAUAUAUUAGUUUUCCGACAUGAACUUUUUAGGAUAAAAGGGACUUUUUUUCAAAGAACAAAAUUCUUGUCCAAAUUAACAGACAAGCUUUUUCGGAAGGCAAGUGUUCCUCAACUAAAGAAUGAGGUUUCUGUCUUAUGUUUUAUGGACGUGUCUAAAUGGAAUUUCGUAUCAACACUUAGAUGAAUGUAGAGAUUGGUGUUACAUGGACUAUUGUAUUCUUCUAACAAUACUUGUGCACGAUUAUGGGUGUGGGAUAUUUGUUUGGCGCCCUAACUAAUUUAGGAAUGUGGAUACUAUCUACAUGAUGUUUGAAGGAAAAGAAGCUUGCAUUGGCUAGAAAACAAACAUUUCUUGUUUGGGAGAGGUGCAACAGAAGUUCAGCAAUCAGGGAGUGUUAACAGUAACUGAAACUAAUGUGAGAUCAAGAGUUGGGUCAUGGAAGAAUUUUCGUAAAAAUGUGGAGAAUGUUUGGCUUUGUGAUCCAUGGAGGAUCUCCUAAUAGAAUCCUGGGAGGGGGGAGUAUGUAGGUUGCUGGGUUGUGUCUGUUUCCUUUUCUUUUUUUUUUGUUCUGGUUAUUUUUUGAUAUUGUUGGAAGUUCAGUUUUGUUUAGAGCAGUGAGGGCAGCCUUCUCUUUGUGAUGUUUGCCUCUGGCUUUGUUUUUUUGCUAUAAAAUGAAUCAUUUACGGGAAAAAAUUGUAAAUAAUAUGCGCUCUUUAAUAUCUUUUGGUACAAGCAGAUAUCUUAGUCUUUUGUGAAAUAUUAUGUGAGCAUAUUAUACAAUAUACCAUACAAAUAACGUAUACACAGGAUGUGUCUCCGUAUCUGUAUUUGUCCUUAGAUGAUUAUCCAAUGCCCUUUACACGUGUCUAACAUGGAGUACUUAAUUAACUGAGAAAUAGGAUUAGGGAAAAGGACGUAAAUCUGUGGCUCAUUAAUUUGUGAAAUGGACCUUAACCCGUCCCAUCAAGCCUUGUCAAUUGUGUAUUAAACUUGUACAGGUCUCUUUCCAUCUGGGUUUGUAGGGCCAUAACACAAGCUGUUAUUACAAGCUAUGUGCUUUAAGUCAAAUAAACUUCUCCAUAUUCUUGAAAUGAUAAUGAUAAGUAUAAUUAUAAUUAUAAUUAUGAUAUUAAUUAAGUAAUAGUAAUAACUAUUUCCUAGUUUGACAAGUAUCCUAUUCAUAGUAAAGAAUAUAAAUCUUGUUUGGCUGAAGAAAGGGAAAUGAUAUAUUAGCGCGCGCUGACGCUCUUCCCUCUCACAGGUUGUAGAAGGACCAAAUUACCCUUUUCUGGUCGAAAUGGACAUUUUUUUUUUCCCAUCAGCAGCAUCUGACCUAGGGACCGUGUAGUACAAGGGUGCACUACAAGGGUAUGAUACGCAAUCUAAACUGUCUAUCUUUGUGGUCAAUGGUCCAGGUUUCAAAAAGUAUUUUACAAGUAAGAUACCUAUAUAUUACCUAUAGAAUACCUUUAAUUUAAAUCAUUAAAAAUACUUUUAAAUGGCUUGGAUUAUGUGCUACACUCUUGUAGCGCAGGCCUGUGCACUAAAGGGUCCAUGGAUCCAUCAGCAUCCCUAAGGAAAGUAUAAUGUACUUUUUUGCCAAAAUAACUAACGAGAUGACACACUGACUAUGAGGAUUGUGCUGAAGCAUAUCUCCCGCAGCAUAAGGUGGCCACCGGCCAGGUAUUAACGGCUACAGGGGUUGCAUCUAAUUUUGUAAGCAAUUUAACUUACAAACUUGGGCUUGACUAUGACUUUUUUUUUUAAUCAAUUCCUCGUGUCAACGAACCUGACCAAACACGUUCUUUCUGGACUUUAUUUCACUUUAUACAAAUUUUGCCUAUUGUGUUUGUUCCUCUGUUACACAUACACACACACGUAUUUAUAUAUAAGUGCACACGCAUAUAUGUGCAGCCAAUGACCGAGGUAUGCCAUCCAAGCACGAAUACCCUCAUUCAAGAGAAUAUUUUGGUGCAGAAACCCUCAAAUUCAGGAUCUUUCGCUUCACUAAUUUACUGAGAAACGAAGUCAUAGGCAUGUAUAGGUGGUCCAUUUUCUGGAGUUC
Molecule: long non-coding RNA, 3245 nt
Organism: Rhododendron vialii
Lineage: Eukaryota; Viridiplantae; Streptophyta; Magnoliopsida; Ericales; Ericaceae
Exons: 2
Source: RefSeq, a predicted model, not a curated record